AUUAAGAUGUACAAAUACAUUGGCAUUUUCAUCGUCUUUCAAAUCGUUGUCAUCAGCGUUUUUGGUUUGACUGUGAUGAAAGUUAAGUCCCCAAAAAUCAGGUUAGGCAACAUCUAUGUCCUAAGUCUCAACUCCGUCCCGGCCCCACCUUCAUUCGACAUGAGCUUCGAAACCCAAAUCAGAGUUAGGAACUUAAACUGGGGUACCUAUAAGUUUAAUGACGGCAUGGCCACGUUUAUGUACGAAGGUGUGCCUGUUGGGCAAGUUGCUAUUCCGAGUAGCAAAGUCGGAAUGCGGUCCACGAAAAAAAUUGAUGUUGUGG
Molecule: long non-coding RNA, 322 nt
Filed under: Malus domestica (apple)
Lineage: Eukaryota; Viridiplantae; Streptophyta; Magnoliopsida; Rosales; Rosaceae
Description: long non-coding RNA (MDOM_LNC006134)
Source: RNAcentral